CCCCAGCCCAGAACCCUGUGUGCGGGACAGAGCGCUGGGUGUCAUGGUGUCUCCGCGUUCUCCCCCAGAAGCUGUCUGGACACCAGGACAGAAACACAGGCCAAACUCAUCAUCAUUCUCCACCCUUCCUCUGCCUCUUCUCUUCAGAAGUCGACCCUGGAGUCUUCCAGAAGAAAAGCCUCUUCCGGGCAUACAGUGGCAACAACAAGCAGUUGGGGACAGAGAGAGAAGCUGUCCUUAAGUAGAGGCGCUGGCCUGCGAGCCCCUCCCAGACCCCACAGAGACCAGGCUCUGUCCACCUGCAGACCAAGCAGCUCCGGAACCUGCUAAAAAUGACGGAGACUCAGCAGCUACCCGGACAAGCUCCCGGGUUCCUCUAUGUUUCUCCCCGUGUGUUCCGUGAUGGACACUGGAGACAUGCUGCAGAGUGUCGUGUUGCCUAGUUGACGGAGCUGCUUGUGGAUGCCGGCGGCUCUGUCCUUCCACACUGCGCACUUUCAUUAUGUGUGUUAAUGCUCCGUGACAAAAUGCUCUGGUUCCUAGUGACAAAGGAUCAGUGUGUGUAAGUGAACACUCAUCCAGCUGUGCUCUCUCUCUUUUUUUUUUCCAGUGGUGCUGAGAGAGCCCAUCUUGUGCAAAUCAUCCAUGCUGUUCCUUAAGCAUUUUAUCUUUGCUCAGUUGUUAAGAACGGUGGCUCGCGUUCAUGGUUUUUGUGUUUGCGUCUAACUCAUGUUUUAACAGGGUAGACAAUGCAUGGAGUAGCUAUAGUUUUAUGGAAAAGUUAAUCUCGAACUUGUUUUACAGAUCUUCAAUAAAUCUUUUUCUUUAAA
Molecule: long non-coding RNA, 830 nt
Organism: Meriones unguiculatus (Mongolian gerbil)
Lineage: Eukaryota; Metazoa; Chordata; Mammalia; Rodentia; Muridae
Exons: 2
Source: RefSeq, a predicted model, not a curated record